This 586-nucleotide ribosomal RNA is filed under the name bacterium ENA02R. Its description in RNAcentral is "bacterial SSU rRNA". It matches the Rfam family "Bacterial small subunit ribosomal RNA", at positions 771 to 1349 of the family's 1533-position model. The record is from RNAcentral.
AACAGGAUUAGAUACCCUGGUAGUUCCCCCCGUAAAAGAUGAGUGGCUAAGUGUUAGAGGGUUUUCCGCCCUUUUAGUUGCUGCAGCUAACGCAUUAAGCAYUCCGCCCUGGGGAGUACGGUCGCAAGACUGAAACUCAAAGGAAUUGACGGGGGGCCCGCACAAGCGGUGGAGCAUGUGGUUUAAUUUGAAGCAACGCGAAGAACCUUACCAGGUCUUGACAUCCUCUGACAACCCUAGAGAUAGGGCUUUCCCCUUCGGGGGACAGAGUGACAGGUGGUGCAUGGUUGUUGUCAGCUCGUGUCGUGAGAUGUUGGGUUAAGUCCCGCAACGAGCGCAACCCUUGAUCUUAGUUGCCAGCAUUCAGUUGGGCACUCUAAGAUGACUGCCGGUGACAAACCGGAGGAAGGUGGGGAUGACGUCAAAUCAUCAUGCCCCUUAUGACCUGGGCUACACACGUGCUACAAUGGACGGUACAAAGGGCUGCAAGACCGCGAGGUUUAGCCAAUGCCAUAAAACCGUUCUCAGUUCGGAUUGUAGGCUGCAACUCGCCUACAUGAAGCUGGAAUCGCUAGUAAUCGCGGAU